AUACCAUGGUGGUAUGCCUUAUACAUGCAAGUUGUACGAGAGUUUUUAACUCAGUGGCGGACGGGUGAGGAACACGUAAGAAUUUGCCUUUAGGAGGGGGACAACAAUUGGAAACGAUUGCUAAUACCCCAUACGCUUUCAAGUGAAAUGGAUUUUCCGCCUAGAGAGAAGCUUGCGGCUGAUUAGCUUGUUGGUAAGGUAAUGGCUUACCAAGGCGACGAUCAGUAUCUGGUUUGAGAGGACGAUCAGACACACUGGAACUGAGACACGGUCCAGACUCCUACGGGAGGCAGCAGUAGGGAAUUUUCCGCAAUGGGCGAAAGCCUGACGGAGCAAUACCGCGUGAGGGAUGACUGCCUAUGGGUUGUAAACCUCUUUUUUCAGGGAGGAACAUAAUGACGUGUACCUGAAGAAUAAGCAUCGGCUAACUCCGUGCCAGCAGCCGCGGUAAGACGGAGGAUGCAAGUGUUAUCCGGAAUCACUGGGCGUAAAGCGUCUGUAGGUGGUCAAAUAAGUCAACUGUUAAAUCUUGAGGCUCAACCUCGAAAUCGCAGUCGAAACUAUUAGACUAGAGUAUAGUAGGGGUAAAGGGAAUUUCCAGUGGAGCGGUGAAAUGCGUAGAGAUUGGAAAGAACACCGAUGGCGAAGGCACUUUACUGGGCUAUUACUAACACUCAGAGACGAAAGCUAGGGUAGCAAAUGGGAUUAGAUACCCCAGUAGUCCUAGCUGUAAACAAUGGAUACUAGAUGUUGAACAGAUCGACCUGUGCAGUAUCAAAGCUAACGCGUUAAGUAUCCCGCCUGGGAAGUAUGCUCGCAAGAGUGAAACUCAAAUGAAUUGACGG
This 845-nucleotide ribosomal RNA is filed under the name uncultured bacterium. RNAcentral's name for it is "bacterial SSU rRNA". It matches the Rfam family "Bacterial small subunit ribosomal RNA", at positions 31 to 916 of the family's 1533-position model. The record is from RNAcentral.